UUUUUUUUUUUUAACUUUUUAAAAUGCUUUUUAAUGUUAAAUAAUACUAAAUAAUUUUUGUAAUGUCUUCCAUUCAUAUAUGCAAUAUCAAAUACUAACAUAAAAAAUUUUUCUAAUAAAAUAUAAGCAAAGCUAGCAAUUUGACAGUUUUAGCAUUGUCAUUUCAAAUUUGGCUACAACCAAUCUAAAUUUGAAAAGUUGUAUAUAACUGACCAAAUUAAGAGGAUAGAUCACAAUUGCAAAUUUGAGUAAAGUUGAAAUUUACUUUUCGUCAUUAACCCUUUUGUAAAAUUCAAUUUGGUCUCUUUUACAACAUAAAAUGACAUGUUUUAGAUUAAACAUACAUCAGUUUGAACUCACAACAAGCUCAAUUUUAGCAAUGAUGAACAUAGGUAUUAACUUUUACAAAGCAGAAGAACCACAAAUUUUUUACUUUUGAAAAAGGAAAGAACUAUGUGUUUAAUAGGCCAAAUCUAACCUUUUUGUAACUUUUGUUUUGAAAUUUAUGGUUUGGAAGUUCAUUGAAUUUCUUGAAUUAAGUUUAAUUACUUAAAGCUAUUAACCUACAUGCACAGUGAAAAAUGUUAUAUGUUAUUUGAAAUAUUAUAACCAUAAAGAUAUCACAUACUAGCUACAACGCAAGAAAAAUAAAUGACAAGAAAGGUAUUCUAAAUUUAUAUGUGCACUGCACAUUUCUUUCUUUUGAUUUAUUAAUAAAGAAUUUCAUGAAGAAACUCUCACGGUAUUUUGAAAUUUUCUUUGUCAAUUCAAUAAAACAUAUGCUUCCACAACUAUAUUUAUUCUUUGUGUAAAAUUCUUGCUCAAAAUUUUCUCAAUUAUUCCUUAUCGUAUAGUUUUACAUUAUUUUUUGUUGAUGUAUGAAAAAUAUCUCCCUUAACA
RNAcentral lists this unclassified non-coding RNA (900 nucleotides) under Hevea brasiliensis (rubber tree). Lineage: Eukaryota; Viridiplantae; Streptophyta; Magnoliopsida; Malpighiales; Euphorbiaceae. The record is from RNAcentral.